GUUUAAGUAGCUUAAUUAAAGCAUGACAUUGAAGUUGUUGGGAUGAGGACUUUCCUCCUUAAAC
RNAcentral lists this transfer RNA (64 nucleotides) under Sclomina erinacea. Its description in RNAcentral is "tRNA-Phe". The record is from RNAcentral. Lineage: Eukaryota; Metazoa; Arthropoda; Insecta; Hemiptera; Reduviidae.